CCCUUAGAUGUUCUGGGCUGCACGCGCGCUACACUGAUGCAUACAACGAGUUUAACCUAGGCCGAAGGGUCCGGGUAAUCUUUGAAAUUUCAUCGUGAUGGGGAUAGAUUAUUGCAAUUAUUAAUCUUCAACGAGGAAUUCCUAGUAAGCGCGAGUCAUCAGCUCGCGUUGAUUACGUCCCUGCCCUUUGUACACACCGCCCGUCGCUCCUACCGAUUGAAUGGUCCGGUGAAAUGUUCGGACCGCGACAAGGCGGACGGUUCGCUGUCAGCUUUGCUGCGGGAAGUUCAUUAAACCUUNUNAUUUAGNGGAAGGAGAANUCGUANCA
Molecule: ribosomal RNA, 328 nt
Filed under: uncultured eukaryote
Lineage: Eukaryota
Description: partial 18S ribosomal RNA
Rfam family: Eukaryotic small subunit ribosomal RNA
Source: RNAcentral